RNAcentral lists this ribosomal RNA (400 nucleotides) under uncultured bacterium. RNAcentral describes it as "bacterial SSU rRNA". It matches the Rfam family "Bacterial small subunit ribosomal RNA", at positions 356 to 773 of the family's 1533-position model. The record is from RNAcentral.
GGGGAAUAUUGGACAAUGGGGGCAACCCUGAUCCAGCAAUGCCGCGUGUGUGAAGAAGGUCUUCGGAUUGUAAAGCACUUUCGACAGGGACGAUGAUGACGGUACCUGUAGAAGAAGCCCCGGCUAACUUCGUGCCAGCAGCCGCGGUAAUACGAAGGGGGCUAGCGUUGCUCGGAAUGACUGGGCGUAAAGGGCGCGUAGGCGGUGUACAUAGUCAGGUGUGAAAUUCCUGGGCUUAACCUGGGGGCUGCAUUUGAUACUGGUAUGCUUGAGUUCGGAAGAGGGUCGUGGAAUUCCCAGUGUAGAGGUGAAAUUCGUAGAUAUUGGGAAGAACACCGGUGGCGAAGGCGGCGACCUGGUCCGAUACUGACGCUGAGGCGCGAAAGCGUGGGGAGCAAAC